AGCGUGCUGCAGUUGCCAAAAAAGCCAAUACAGGCAUAGUCUCAACUGCUCUGUGGGUCUACUGCAUCGAUAAAGGAAAACCGAGUCUUUCAAAUUCUGGAAAGUUGGUUUAAUCUUUUUCUUGCAAGGACACCAAGAAAACAGCCAAGCAAAACAACUAAAGUCAGCUCUAAACUGAGUUUAACAGGGUACUGUAUUUAUGCAUAGUUCCCAUUAUUACCCCUCAUUAUUCAAUCACUGUCAUCGGAGCUAACAUCCGUAGCUCAAUUAAUCCCUCAUUACCAUCAAUUACUAUGUUACAAUAACCAAUAUAUAAUGUAAUCCGCCACCAAUACCAUUAAUACCACUAUCCCGUCACCAACAACAUUUCUGCAACAUUUUGUUCCAUAAAAUGGCUCCCCAUCUGUACACCCUUCGUGUGUAUGCUCCAGGAUCAUUGCUGUUAAUUGGUCGCCGCCCACAUCAUCAUCCAGCGUGUGCAGCCGUGACGACGCGCUCCGGAACCACAGAAUCCCUGGACCAACACCUUCAGCCUCCUCCAUAGCAUCGGAGCUUCGUUGGUCAAUUGUGUUGCGUGGGCGCGACAGGCGGCCCCCUCUACCAGGACCUGGCCUACAAAACAGUAACAAAUAUUGAAGAACAUUCCUGCGGAUUCAUGAAUCAAGGAUUUUAUCAAUCUCAGCAUGGGUGGAUUCCCCAAGUGUGACAGGUUCCUCGACCUGGGGUACACUGUAGUGUUGCACAUACUUCAAUAAAUUAGCGUGGAAUACAGAUGGAUUUGCCCUAAUCGUGCUGGUAACUUCAACUGUACAGUGAUGGGGUUAAUCACUUUAGUGAUUGUGAAUGGUCCAAUAUAUUUUGGUCCCAGUUUUCUACUGUUUAGUUGUAACUUUAUAUAUUUUGUUAAUAGGUAAAUGUAAUCGCCAACUUUGAAUGGUU
This is a non-coding RNA of Notechis scutatus (mainland tiger snake), 939 nucleotides long. The record is from RefSeq and is a predicted model, not a curated record. NCBI's taxonomy places the organism in Eukaryota, Metazoa, Chordata, Lepidosauria, Squamata, Elapidae.